Molecule: ribosomal RNA, 1063 nt
Filed under: 'Vitis vinifera' phytoplasma
Lineage: Bacteria; Bacillati; Mycoplasmatota; Mollicutes; Acholeplasmatales; Acholeplasmataceae
Description: bacterial SSU rRNA
Rfam family: Bacterial small subunit ribosomal RNA
Source: RNAcentral
CAGGGGCUUGCGCCACAUUAGUUAGUUGGUAAGGUAAAGGCUUACCAAGACGAUGAUGUGUAGCUGGACUGAGAGGUCGAACAGCCACAUUGGGACUGAGACACGGCCCAAACUCCUACGGGAGGCAGCAGUAAGGAAUUUUUGGCAAUGGAGGAAACUCUGACCGAGCGACGCCGCGUGAGCAAUGAAGUACUUCGGUAUGUAAAGUUCUUUUAUUGAAAAAGAAAAAAUAGUGGAAAAACUAUCUUGACAUUAUUCAAUGAAUAAGCCCCGGCUAAUUAUGUGCCAGCAGCCGCGGUAAUACAUAAGGGGCGAGCGUUAUCCGGAAUUAUUGGGCGUAAAGGGUGCGUAGGCGGUUUGAUAAGUCUAUAGUUUAAAUGCAGUGCUUAACGCUGUAGCGCUAUAGAAACUGUCUGACUAGAGUUAGAUAGAGGCAAGCGGAAUUCCAUGUGUAGCGGUAAAAUGCGUAAAUAUAUGGAGGAACACCAGAGGCGUAGGCGGCUUGCUGGGUCUUAACUGACGCUGAGGCACGAAAGCGUGGGGAGCAAACAGGAUUAGAUACCCUGGUAGUCCACGCCGUACACGAUGAGUACUAAGUGUCGGGUUUCGGCUCGGUACUGAAGUUAACACAUUAAGUACUCCGCCUGAGUAGUACGUACGCAAGUAUGAAACUUAAAGGAAUUGACGGGACCCCGCACAAACGGUGGAUCAUGUUGUUUAAUUCGAAGAUACACGAAAAACCUUACCAGGUCUUGACAUAAUUUUGCGACAUUAUAGAAAUAUAAUGAAGGUUAUCAGAAUUACAGGUGGUGCAUGGUUGUCGUCAGCUCGUGUCGUGAGAUGUUAGGUUAAGUCCUAAAACGAGCGCAACUCUUGUCGUUAGUUGCGACCACGUAAUGGUGAGCACUUUAGCGAGACUGCCAAUGAAAAAUUGGAGGAAGGUGAGGAUUACGUCAAAUCAUCAUGCCCCUUAUGAUCUGGGCUACAAACGUGAUACAAUGGCUGUUACAAAGAGUAGCUACAACGUGAGUUUUUAGCCAAUCUCAAAAAAACAGUCUCAGUU